This 1293-nucleotide long non-coding RNA is filed under the name Fragaria vesca (wild strawberry). RNAcentral's name for it is "long non-coding RNA (FVES_LNC004745)". Lineage: Eukaryota; Viridiplantae; Streptophyta; Magnoliopsida; Rosales; Rosaceae. The record is from RNAcentral.
UGAUGAUCGAAUCCGCUAAAGAUUAUGGAUCAUGAUGCCACAAAAGAUCAUCGACAAUAUGUAGUCAAUUAAGGUGGUAAGCAAUCCACUUGACUAAUAACUCAACAAGGAGAGUUAUAUGAACGUUUCGAAAAACGCUCCAUGAGUGCAUUCCACAGUACUUUAUGGUCAUUACUUUUUGCACAGAUUGCCAUUGAAGGCUUUUGUCGAUGUGGCGCGUCAAAGACUUUGAGCGCAUGAGAUGUGAAGUCUCGGCAUCUAGGCUUGUUAGCCUGGGGGUCAAAACAUGUGGUUUAAUCCAAUGAAAGGUUCCACAGAUACCAAGCGAAGAUCCGCCUUAGACAUCUAGUACGUCAAAACUGAAAGGAGCAGAAUGUUACAUUGCUCUUGCAUACAAAACCAAGCUGUUAUGAGACUCGAUAGAGGUCACAAACGAUGCUUUUAAUGGUUUGUCCUUCGGAUUGAUCAUACACAAUCCGGAAAAGCCGCUAAUUGAUCAAACACAAUUUGGAAAAAGGCCUCGAAUUGAUCAAACACAAUCCGGUGAAAGGUCGGGGUUGAUCAAACACAACCCGGACAAACAAACAAGAGUGAUCAAACACUCUUGACCCUCGAAUAAAAUUCCGGGAUUUGGGUAUCUGCACGCACAAAAUCCCAAGCAUAGAAUGGAGAUGGAGAAGGGAGGAAAGGAUUUUAUCCUCCCCGAGUUAUUGAACUUGGAAAAGUUUAAGGUUUCAAAAAACAUACCUUUCUAGAGGCUGCCGAGAGGAGAAAUAACGUUUCGCCUACUUAUACUUCGAAUUUGGGGCUGAAAAUUUGAUAGGAGGAGCAGCUCUGGAUGGGGAAGCUGCUGUCAAAAUUUCAGGUUGAUCGGAGCAAGGGAAGGUGGUGAACCAGGGGUCGGUAGCGGCGGCGGUCUGGAAUCUUCCGGCGGCCGGUUCGAAGACUUUCCGGCCGGUUCUCAGGGUGAGACCGGCGGCGUUGGAUCCGGGACGGAGAGAGCUUUCUGGGGAUAUAAAAUUCCGGUGGAGGACUGUCGGAAUUUUGGUCGGAAAUCGGGAAAAACAAGGCUGCCCGAUUUUAGGGUUUGGUUUUAGGGUUUAGAAAAAAUAGGUGGGCUAUUGGCUCUAGGGUUAGAAUAAAGUGCAUGAUAACGUGAUGAAUGAUUAAUGGUAGAGAUAAAGAGAUAGCAAGAGAAUCAUCAUUUUAUUCAUUGAUAGGAGCCCUUUAUAUAGGGAAUUACACAAUACUAAUAUGGUAAGGAUAUGAAUACAUAGAUCUAGUCUAACUACA